GGCAGCACUGGGGGUAAGGUAGAACGCAUGAAUGGCACUCUGAAAGCCAGAAUGCUUAAAAUGUCCCAAGAAACUAACCUACCCUGGCCGGAGAGUCUUCCCAUAGCAUUGUUUAGUAAAAGGUACACCCCAAGAGGGAGGUUUAGCUUAUCCCCCUACGAAAUCUUAUUUGGAACAGCACCCAGGUUAGGCUGUUAUUUUCCU
Non-coding RNA from Pelobates cultripes (western spadefoot toad), 204 nucleotides. Lineage: Eukaryota; Metazoa; Chordata; Amphibia; Anura; Pelobatidae. The record is from the annotation of a GenBank genome assembly.